This 301-nucleotide ribosomal RNA is filed under the name uncultured bacterium. Its description in RNAcentral is "partial 16S ribosomal RNA". It matches the Rfam family "Bacterial small subunit ribosomal RNA", at positions 509 to 807 of the family's 1533-position model. The record is from RNAcentral.
CAGUCGCCACGGUAAUACGAACCGUGCGAACGUUAUUCGGAAUUACUGGGCUUAAAGCGCGUGUAGGCGGGCCGCCACGUCGGUUGCUGAAAUCCCCCGGCUCAACCGGGGAAGUGGCAUCGAUACGAGCGGCCUUGAGGGGGGUAGGGGGAUCUGGAACUUCCGGUGGAGCGGUGAAAUGCGUUGAGAUCGGAAGGAACGCCCGUGGCGAAAGCGAGGUCCUGGACCCUUUCUGACGCUGAGACGCGAAAGCCAGGGGAGCGAACGGGAUUAGAGACCCCGGUAGUCCCUGUCUCUUAUA